Molecule: non-coding RNA, 28 nt
Filed under: Rattus norvegicus (Norway rat)
Lineage: Eukaryota; Metazoa; Chordata; Mammalia; Rodentia; Muridae
Source: RNAcentral
UUGUCCUCGUGUGUAUGUGUCCUUCUCC